Molecule: ribosomal RNA, 17 nt
Filed under: uncultured fungus
Lineage: Eukaryota; Fungi
Description: partial 18S ribosomal RNA
Source: RNAcentral
UUGAAAUCCUCAGGAUG